RNAcentral lists this ribosomal RNA (253 nucleotides) under uncultured bacterium. RNAcentral's name for it is "partial 16S ribosomal RNA". It matches the Rfam family "Bacterial small subunit ribosomal RNA", at positions 524 to 776 of the family's 1533-position model. The record is from RNAcentral.
UACGUAGGUGACAAGCGUUGUCCGGAUUUACUGGGCGUAAAGAGCGCGCAGGCGGUCGUUCAAGUCGAGUGUGAAAGCCCCCGGCUCAACUGGGGAGGGUCACUCGAUACUGAUCGACUCGAAGGCAGGAGAGGGUAGUGGAAUUCCCGGUGUAGUGGUGAAAUGCGUAGAUAUCGGGAGGAACACCAGUGGCGAAGGCGACUACCUGGCCUGUUCUUGACGCUGAGGCGCGAAAGCGUGGGGAGCGAACCGG